AACGAACGCUGGCGGCAUGCCUAACACAUGCAAGUCGAACGAGACCUUCGGGUCUAGUGGCGCACGGGUGCGUAACGCGUGGGAACCUGCCCUUAGGUUCGGAAUAACUCCCCGAAAGGGGUGCUAAUACCGGAUAAUGUCUUCGGACCAAAGAUUUAUCGCCUUUGGAUGGGCCCGCGUUGGAUUAGCUAGUUGGUAGGGUAAAAGCCUACCAAGGCGACGAUCCAUAGCUGGUCUGAGAGGAUGAUCAGCCACACUGGGACUGGGACACGGCCCCGACUCCUACGGGAGGCAGCAGUGGGGAAUAUUGGACAAUGGGCGAAAGCCUGAUCCAGCAAUGCCGCGUGAGUGAUGAAGGCCUUAGGGUUGUAAAGCUCUUUUAACCGGGAUGAUAAUGACAGUACCGGGAGAAUAAGCUCCGGCUAACUCCGUG
Molecule: ribosomal RNA, 433 nt
Filed under: uncultured bacterium
Lineage: Bacteria
Description: partial 16S ribosomal RNA
Rfam family: Bacterial small subunit ribosomal RNA
Source: RNAcentral